This is a small nucleolar RNA of Equus asinus (donkey), 75 nucleotides long. Lineage: Eukaryota; Metazoa; Chordata; Mammalia; Perissodactyla; Equidae. The record is from Ensembl.
UGGACCAAUAAUGAUGGCUGGUGGCAUGUGAGUCAUGGAUGAUGAAUAAUAUGUGUGUGGAACUCUGAGCUUCAA